CAAAUAUUUAUAAUUAAAUGUGUUGUUCUUAUUUAAAAUGAUAAAAAGGACAAAUAAUUUUGCUGUUGUUUUAUUUCUUUCCCAACAAAAUUGUUUGCCAUAGGAGCACGACUUUGAUGUGCGCCAACUUAUAAGUAAGAGUGUGGUCAGCUUGUUAAAAUGUUUAUGUAAGAUAUACGAAGACAAAAGGAAUAUAUAUAUUUAUAAGUGUUUUGUUUUUAUUUUAAUUCCGAC
RNAcentral lists this long non-coding RNA (234 nucleotides) under Mytilus galloprovincialis (Mediterranean mussel). Lineage: Eukaryota; Metazoa; Mollusca; Bivalvia; Mytilida; Mytilidae. The record is from RNAcentral.